GUUUCCGUAGCUCAGCUGGAUAGAGCGACCGCCUCCUAAGCGGUAGGUCGGGUGUUCAAAUCACCUCGGAAACGCCA
This 77-nucleotide transfer RNA is filed under the name Clostridia bacterium. RNAcentral describes it as "tRNA-Arg". It matches the Rfam family "tRNA". From Rfam's summary of the family: Transfer RNA (tRNA) molecules are approximately 80 nucleotides in length. Lineage: Bacteria; Bacillati; Bacillota; Clostridia. The record is from RNAcentral. RNAcentral also lists the same sequence under 1 other name.